Molecule: RNA transcript, 5755 nt
Organism: Empidonax traillii (willow flycatcher)
Lineage: Eukaryota; Metazoa; Chordata; Aves; Passeriformes; Tyrannidae
Gene: DCUN1D2
Gene name: defective in cullin neddylation 1 domain containing 2
Exons: 7
Source: RefSeq, a predicted model, not a curated record
AAAGCAUAAGCUUAAAUCGUCUCAGAAGGACAAGGUCCGCCAGUUUAUGGCCUUUACCCAGGCUGGUGAAAGGACUGCCAUAUACUGCUUAACGCAGAAUGAAUGGAAACUAGAAGUGGCAACAGACAACUACUUCCAGAAUCCAGACUUAUACUACAAAGAAUCCAUGAAAAAUUCAGUAGACAGGAAGAAAUUAGAACAAUUGUAUAAUCGAUACAAAGACCCCCAAGAUGAAAAUAAAAUUGGCAUUGAUGGAAUUCAGCAGUUUUGUGAUGAUUUAAGCCUGGACCCAGCCAGUAUCAGUGUCCUGGUUGUAGCAUGGAAAUUCAGGGCAGCUACUCAAUGUGAAUUCAGUAAAAAGGAGUUUGUUGAUGGUAUGACAGAGUUGGGGUGUGACACCACAGAAAAACUAAAAGCUCUAUUGCCAAGACUUGAACAAGAGCUAAAGGAUCCAACAAAGUUCAAAGAUUUUUAUCAGUUUACUUUUAACUUUGCUAAAAACCCUGGACAAAAAGGUCUAGUUGCCUGGGAUCAAGCAAGAAAUGAAAGAUGAGGAGGGCAUUCAGACUUGAAUCAAAUAUUACUUCAAGACCAGAAGAAUGACUCUCUUUACAUCCGAUUUAGAAAUGGCAAUUGCAUAUUGGAAUUUAGUCUUGUCAGGAAGGUUUAAAUUUCUAGAUCUUUGGAAUAAAUUUUUGUUGGAACAUCAUAAAAGAUCAAUUCCAAAAGACACUUGGAAUCUUUUGUUAGACUUUGGAAAUAUGAUUGCAGAUGAUAUGUCCAACUAUGAUGAAGAAGGGGCGUGGCCUGUUCUAAUAGAUGAUUUUGUGGAAUAUGCACGACCAAUAGUCACAGGAGGAAAACGUAAAACUUCCUAACCCCAGACUUGUCAGUAUGGACUAAACAUGCUCUCUGAACUGCAUUGGGUGAUGAGGAUUUGUUAACUGAAAACUGCACAUUUUUGCUGGUUUCAGUAGCCGUGAUGACAUUCUGCAGACAAAACUGAAAUUCUUCUUUCUGCCUCAAGAAUAUGAUGGCUGACUUGUGGACACUUCAAGAACAAACUCAGAAGAUAGUUCAGGCUGUUUGUAGGCUAUUGGCUUCAAUUAUUGUACUGGUUAUAUCAUAUAGGAUGUAGAUUUUGCAUGAUUUUAUACUUUGGAGAAGUUUAACUAGAGGCCAUUUUAUUAAAGUUUUGACAGCACAGCAUGCCAUUCAGUUCAUGAUCCAAAGUGAACACCAGCAGUUACAUAAAUAAAACUGUAUUAUAUUGUACUUAUAUUAAAAGCAGUAUUUGUGGUAUAUAAAUUAAAUCCCUAAAUAAAACUUACGCAGUAUGUUGUAUUUUUAUAAAAGUUCUGUGGAUCUGUGCUAAUACAGAAUUGUAACAAAACCAAACAAAACAACUUAUGCUUUUUUUGUUUUUAAUUGUUGCCCAAACUUACAAUUUUUACUUUUAAGUCCUAGUUGUGUAGAUUGAUUAUAUCCAGCCUUUUGUUUUCUCCCAAUGAGAUUAACUUCCUCAUUAUUCUUCUUGAAGCGCUUGGACAUGUAGGAAUAGCAUUGCUGAGGACGGGCUGCUGCUCUAUGCUGUAUUGCACCUCCAGCUUUUUUUUUAUUAACCACUUUAAAAUAGACAUUGAACAACCAAAGAUGCUUUUAUAAUUCAUGUUUGAUUAUCUUAAUUCAGUUAGUCUUCAGUUAUGUGUUUUAUUUAUUUUUAAUAAGGAACCGGUGGAAUGUGGAUUUUAUUUAUAGCUUGAAACAUACCAUAAAUUCUAACUAAAUGCAACAUAGUUAUAAAUGCAAUUCCUGGCACUUCUCAUGGAAAAUAUAUGUGAAUAAGCCCAAAGACUUAACUAGUUGAUUUCUAUGUUGGAAAAAGAGGUAGGGGUAAGGAGACUUUAUAUUAAUGAUUGUAAGUAUUCAUGCCUCUGGAUAUAUUAUGCAUUCUAUUUUAUAUAUUUAAGAGGGCGGAGGAAGAGUAAAUUGAUACAGUUUCAGUGAUCUCAAGGCUGGUGGAAUUGGACCGAUUUUUCACCAAACCUGAAUUUGUUCAGUCAUUUGUUUCUCCCCUUAUGCUACUGAUUGAUUAUAAAGUGUACAGAGGUCAAUCUCCUCUUCCUCGAAAGUGUCUUCCACUGUCUAAGCAUAAAAAAGUUUUAGCAGAAACUAUUCAGCAUGUCUUCACAUGGGGCUCUUUCAAAUGCUACCUCUUAAAAAUUAGUUUGUCAUAGGCACUGUAAAAUUUUGUUAAAAUGAAGUGUUGCUAAAGAGUGUGUACAGCUAUGAUUAAUAUAUUUUCUGUAAUCAGAGAUGAAUAGGUGCAAGAAUUUUGGAGAAAAUAGUGCAUUAAGUUAUAUAAACUAUGUCUGUUUGGAUCACUUAAGCAUUGCAUGACAGGAUACUGUUUUAUUUUGUUGUUGCAAGGGUAUAAAAGCUUGUAAUAUUUUCUUAAACUCUAAUAUUUAGAGUUUCAUACAAGCAGUCAGCUUUCAUUUAUGUCAAUGCAACCUGCAAGAACAAACAUACAUGCUACAUACAUAGAGAUUGCCUUCAUUCUUCCCCUUGAGAGAAUUUCAGUUGUGCAUGUUGUUUAAAAAGCAGGAUUAGGGCAAAUUUUAACAAAUUAGCAAGUUUUCUCCUAGUAAGAGUAUAGCAAGCAAAUUAAAAAUGCCCUGAGAGUGAUUUAUUUUUAGUCUAUCUUUUUGCCCUUGCAGGGCAGCCGCCAGGUGUCAGCACCUCAGCCAGCAGCUGCCUCCUGCUUCUGGGUAAAGUUAGCCAGGAGGGUUAAGCCCAAUUGUUACUUUCUGCCUGCACCUUUUUAGAAGGGCAUUUUGUACAUAACUUCUGUAGAAGUCAAUGGGGAUUGAAAGGUAGUAUUCUUUUGAAUGGAUUUCUCUACGUUUCCCUCCCAAAACAAGCCAUUCUUGUAUCAGUCUCAUAGACUUUGGCGAAUAUGUAACAUCCUGUAGCAUCAAGUGCAUUUAUCUAGCCAAAAGUGGUGGAAUGCUUGUUAUUCACAGAAUUGCCACUUCAAAUGUAUAGCUAUAACUGCAACUGAAGUAGUUGAAUCUAUCAGUAUGUGGUGCAACUCGAGUUUCAUAGUGUUAGAGCUUGUGAAACAUUUGUUCAUGCUGAGAGUUCCUUCAUAUAAAUCUGAUGAACCUUUUACCUUUUAAAAUAAAUAGAGCAUAAAAAAGGCAUGGGGAUUGAGGGUUUUUUGCCUUGUUAAUCGGAGCAAGAGGGAAGGUGCUUAGCACAAUAAUCAGUUUCUAUAUAUAUACUUUUACUCACUCUUAAGCCUCGUUCCUGUGAGGAUCCUUCAUGGGAAACAUCUUCUAACCCAGGAGGAGUGGCUAAAAUAUCUGAAGAUAGGAGUUGCUUCUUAUCAGCCAGCUUCUGAGGUCUAGUGCUCUUUUUCUUUUGUUCCUCCUGGUGUUCUAUCCCUUUGAAAUCACACAUGCUUUUUACGUUCCCAUACAUAAUAGCAUGGAGUAACACCUUCACACUUGAACAAGCAUAAAAAUACAAAUAAAUUGCUUUCAAAUUAUGAGUUUCUUAUGUAUUUUAAUAAUUAGCUGCUAUCCACAGUUCCACUUUACAGGGCACUCUGACUUGCUUUUUAAGUAAGCUGAUACAGUGGUAACACCUAGGCUGAUCAAUUUAUAAUCAUAAAUGGUACAGAUAUCUUCAAGUUGUUCAGUGCAUACAGUAUUACUUCACAGAUAUGCUUUAUGUAUUUUUAAACUUGGUGCCAAGUUGUUUGGUUUUACAUCCUAGAGGGUUUGAAACUGAGCCAUAGGAUUUGUACUUGCCAAUUCUAAAUUUAAAUGUGAUUUAUCAUGUGUGUCAUGCCAAGGAGAGCAAACCUGCAGGCAUAUGCUCAUUCAGUGCACCUGGGGGAUUUGCUGCUGAGCAAGCUGUACAUGUGUAAAUUUUGUGGCAAUGGAAAAAGGAAUAAAUGGACUGUCAACAUAAAGGAUUGAAGUCAUGUGAGACAUCUGUAUGGUUUUCAUCAGCUCUCUGCUUUGGAAGUCUUGCAACGGCCAGUGGUUUUUUUGCUAUCCAGUUCAUUUAUUACAUUCUUGCAUUAUUAUACUAUCAGCCAGAAGAGGGCAAGGAUGUAACUCACUAACUUUUGGCUAGCUAUAAUAAAUAUUUGGUUUGCUCAUAUGUGCCGUGUUUAAGCUUUUAAGAAGCUUGACAUGUUCAGCUGCAGUGCUGUAUUCCCUAGACGUAGUCACUACAUGCUAGUGUCCAAACUCUGCCAUUUGUGUUACUGGUUUGUACAGGCAGUGAGAGGUGUAAUUGCAGGGCAGGUGUUGCUCAGUCCUGGUUCUGAGCUCUGUAGGAGAAACAGCAUGCUCAGAAGUAUGUGCAAAGACCUUCAGAGGUAUGUAUUCACCUGCCAUUAAUUCCCUUCUCAAAGUUGAAAUCAAAAUAAUUAAGUUGCCCUCUGUCUUCUCCCAGCUGCCCUCCCUCUCCAGUGCUUUCACCAACCAUGGGCUGGUUUGGUGUCGCACAAGUCUUGUCUUCCUGUAACAGCAAAACUGCUGAUGCUGAUAACUUGAACCACAGCAAGCUCUUUUCCUUUCAGGUGUCAGCACCAGUAGCUUCUGUCAGUUGGUGCCAACCAGCAUCUGGCCCCCCAAAAGGCACACCCUUUCUAAAUGAGAAAAAGUGUAAUGAUUUUACAACCAUGAGCCAGUUUUCUGAUCUUUUCAUUAUAUACAGUAUGCUGGGUAGAAUUAGAGGUGAGGAUAACACACCUCUAAAACUAACUUUUGUUUUAAGCUGUUGACAGAGGGAUCUGCAGCUGCCUCUACAACCACAUGCAGAAAAUACCGUAUUUCAGACAAAUGGGUGCAAUGUUCAGCUUUUAAUGAGAAGGGCUGGGGAAGCUUAGGGGCAUUCAAGUUUUGUUUGAGCAUUGGAAUGCUUCCUCUUGUUGGUGCAUAUACCUGACAAAUUCCCAUGUGUUUUUUCUUGUGCCUCCUUUUCCAAGCAGUGAUACACUCUGUUGUUUGGCAAACCCUAUAGGCUUCAUGUCAUUCUUCAGCUUUCUGUUAAGGAUGAAAAGAGGAAAGAAGUACACGCUGUAUUGAUACAGGAUUCUUUUUCCUUUAAAGCAGUGGCUUAAAACUAUGAAAAUUAUUCAUCUCCGUUAUUAAAGAAUUGCGUAAAAACAUCUAAGUUUUCCUGGAUCUCAGUGAGUGUGUUUUAAAGGAAUGAUCCUUUUGCUAAAGUAAAAUCCUUCAUUUCAACAGUUGUAAAGAUGCAGCUCUAACAGAAGUCUGACACCUAUCUGAUAUCAACAAUACUUUUUAAGGAUAUGGCUCUGAAUCCUUUGAUUGGUUGAACUUGGAGCAUUUCUCUGCUGAGUGUUUUUGAACUGCAGAAACAUCAGCCACUCACUCAGGGAUGAGGCGCUUGGGGUGUAGUCGUCUUCUUUUAACUUGAAAAGGGUUUGUGUGGACACAGCAUUGUCAGUCCUUUUGCCAGUUCAUUUAUUCACAGAAGACCCCAGUGCCUGUACAGCACAUGAGCCCUGCCCUGGGUGCUGGAGAUCGUCAAUGCAGAGCCCCUCAGGUGGAAGAGGCAGGAGCAGCCACAUCUGCCAGAGGCGUUGCUUCCAUGUUCUCACGUCGCAUUUCAAAUACAGUUAAGCUGAAACAGCGCAUUGCCACCAACCCAGACAAGCCUCUUCUCUGUCCAGCCUUCCCAUGCCUUUUUUUCUGGAUUCUCCCCAUCU